GCAACAGAAAAUAACUUAUAUAAACAUAUAUAUAAUAUACACGAGUUAAGUUCAAGGAUACGUGUCAUCCAUCAAAGCCGAGUAUCACACCAAGUUAUAUGUACAGAUACAAAAGAAGAAAUCAGUCCCAACCCUCACACGGGUUUUCUAAGCUGGAACCGAACUACUAAGACGUCCUACCCCUCUAAAAGUACUACAAAAGUGAGGGGAAAGUGAUACUAAGAUCAUCAAACAGGAGCGAAAGAUCCACUGCGACUAACUUUGGAGUGCAUUGUGCACAUUGUGCAAGAAAGAGGUCCAAAACAUGCUCCAUAUGAAGACUCCGCCGCGCGCCGGAUCCUCAUAGCUCAGCGGUUAGAACGAAACUCACAGGGCUCCUCUGCCGGACCCGUCUGGGGAGGGGGAAAAGAAAGAAAAGAAGGGUGAGAAUCUAGAGUUCUCAGUAAGGAAAAAGGGGAACCUAGGGUCUUUAUCUCUAAGUUGUCACGAAACAGAAAAAGAACAAAUACAGAGACUCAAGGCUCAAACAUAUUUAUGACAGGUAAGUAGCAUGAACAAGAAAGAAAUGGCAGUAAAUAAUUCACAAGAAGUUCAUAUGCGCAAACAAGAUGAUGCAUGCCUAUUCCUAGCGCAGGCCAUGAGCUCAUGCGUCGGUUGUCUACCCGCAACCCGACGUUACUAGAGUGAACCCCGAGUAUGGUCCCUUUACUGUGUCAAUUAGACACCUUGGCAUCACGGUUACCCGUGUCAAUUAGGCCUCAUUAUAAUAACAUUUCAAUGUGUAUCACAGUAAGGAAUAUUGCUAUCAAUUAGGCGAACAUUCCCGCAUUAGCAAUCUCAGGCUAUCCAUUAGGCGGGCACUUUCGCAUUAGCAGUACGGCACAAGGCCCAUUCAAUAUAAUUCUCAACUUUUAUUUCAUUCCUUGUUCCUCAUUUUUCUUUCUUCACUUUAUCUCUCAAUAUCAUUGUCUUUAACUUUAACCUUUCUUAGGGGCAACUUACACAUUUUCAUUAAACUAAGUCCUUGAACUUUUAUAGAAAUUCGGACAUAAUCUCCUCUAAAAUAGCACUAAAACCACCCUUACGGGUUCCCUCAGCUUUAACAACGUUCAAACUUUCCUUAACUAUUUACCAGGUAAACAUUCUUAAUUGGUCAUUAUACUCUCUUUAAUCCCUUUAGUUAUUGUAAAAUCACGGGUUUAGAAAAUAAAACUUAGUUCUGGGGCAUUCCGACCAUAACUAAAAAUUGUACAAAUGUUUUUAAAAUUCUGCUAUCAUUGCAGAAAACAGCAGUGAGCAGUAAAUUUGUUAAAUUCACUAAAAAUCCAGUUCUCAUCCAUUGCCUUUCAAAAUUUAUGUACUUAGACAAGACUCUUUCAGCUUUCCAGAAAACUAAAUUUCAGAUUAUUACCAUGUCACAUGAAAAAGUUAUGAGCUUAGGAACACAGCCCUGUUUUCAUAAACCAGUUCAGAGUUUCCAGCAAACAACUGAUUUUCCAAGUGACUUAUCUAAGUCUACAAAAUAGAUAUGAACAUGAAACUUGUACUCACUUAAAAUAUACUGAUAGAUCUUUAAAAUCCUUUUGGAAUCAACUCAAAAUUCUGUUUAAAUUAAAAGUUAUAGCAUCUGAAAGUUGGUACUGCAGAACCAGAAAAUUAGAAAAAUCUGCAGCAACCACUAAACUUCAAAAAAUCAUAUCUUCCAAACCGCUUGGCCAAAUUCUCUGAAAUAUUUAUGGCAUGUUCAAGACACACUAAAGUUUUACAGAAAAAUAAUCUCAGCUAAAAAUUAGGUCUGGACUGCUCCCAGAAAAUCAUUCGUUUUACUGCCAAUUAUGCAUAUUUCUGCAGAAAUUCUGCACAAAGCAUUUCCAACAACCUCACAUACCAAAUCCUAUAUUCAAGCCUAGGAUUCAUCUAAAACCAUAAUUUUACCGUGUGAUGGGCUGAAUUGAUUGGUUUGGUUACCAAUUAAAAGAAUUGGAGCUCAAUAAGGGUAGAAUCUUUAAUUUAGGAAAAAUCAACAGAACACAAGUUACUGGUUCUUACCCAACAAGAGGAACACUAAGAAAACCAGGAAAGGAAAGCGGUAGGGUUCCUUCUUUGGCUUCGGGUAGCAGCUCUCUUGAUGACCCUUCUCCUUUUUCUUGGUGGUGACGCACGCAGAUGAUGAUGAUUUCUGCUGGGUCUUCCUCUUCCUUCUUCUUGGCCGCCACUCUUGCUUCCUUUCUUCUCUUCGUGUGGUUUCCAGGAAAAUUAAGGGACUUGGCUCAUCUAUAUAUAUCUACAGAAGGUGGGAAGAGGUGAGCUGGUGUGACAAGGCUUCGUGGCCUCUUCCUCUUGCAACACCACAUCAUAGUAUUGAUUACAAUGAAGAGGUAACCAUGGUCUUGGACAACACGUUCGGUUGUGAGAGAAGAAGGGAAGAUGAGUUUAAUCAGAGUU
RNAcentral lists this long non-coding RNA (2445 nucleotides) under Arachis ipaensis. RNAcentral's name for it is "long non-coding RNA (AIPA_LNC001710)". The record is from RNAcentral. Lineage: Eukaryota; Viridiplantae; Streptophyta; Magnoliopsida; Fabales; Fabaceae.